This 511-nucleotide ribosomal RNA is filed under the name uncultured bacterium. RNAcentral describes it as "partial 16S ribosomal RNA". The record is from RNAcentral.
GGAGUUAGCCGGUGCUUCUUCUGUGAGUGAUGUCCUUCCUGCCGGUUAUUGACCCGCAGGCCUUCUUCCUCACUGAAAGUGCUUUACAACCCGAAGGCCUUCUUCACACACGCGGCAUGGCUGGAUCAGGGUUGCCCCCAUUGUCCAAUAUUCCCCACUGCUGCCUCCCGUAGGAGUCUGGGCCGUGUCUCAGUCCCAGUGUGGCUGAUCAUCCUCUCAGACCAGCUACGGAUCGUCGCCUUGGUGAGCCGUUACCUCACCAACCAGCUAAUCCGACAUAGGCUCAUCCGAUAGCGCGAGGCCCGAAGGUCCCCCGGCUUUCCCCCGUAGGGCGUAUGCGGUAUUAGCCUGGGUUUCCCCCAGGUUAUCCCCCGACUACCGGGGCAGAUUCCUAUGCAUUACUCACCCGUCCGCCGCUCGCCACCAGGGAGCAAGCUCCCCGUGCUGCCGCUCGACUUGCAUGUGUUAGGCCUGCCGCCAGCGUUCAAUCUGAGCCAUAAUCAAACUCUGA